AUCCUGCCAGCAAUCAUAUGCUUGUCUCAAAGAUUAAGCCAUGCAUGUCUAAGUAUAAGUUUUUAUACGGCGAAACUGCGGAAGGCUCAUUAUAUCAGUUACAAUCCAAUUGAUCGAAUCGUUACUUGGAUACCUGUAGGAAUUCUAGAGCUAAUACAUGCCAACGGGCCGGAUCGGGGGAAACCUCGAGAAGGCCGCGCAUACCCGCCGAGAAACCGACCGGGACGUCGAACCCCGGGGCGACCCGGGGUGUCCCGAAAGGCCCAGGACGAUUCAAGGUAGCCGUCGCGAAUCGAGGGCCGAAGCCCUCGAUGAUGCAAUCGAGUAUCUGCCCCAUCAACUUUCAACCGUAGUGUAGGGGACUACGGUGGUGAUAACGGGUACGGGGAAUUAGGGUUCGAUUCCGGAGAGGGGGCCUGAGAAAUGGCCACCACUUCCAAGGAAGGCAGCAGGCGCGUAAAUUAUCCAAUCUCGAUUCGAGGAGAUAGUGACAAGAAAUACCGAUGUAGGGCCUUCUGGGCUCUACUAUCGGAAUGAGGACAAUUUAAAUUCCUUACCGAGGAACGAUUGGAGGGCAAGUCUGGUGCCAGCAGCCGCGGUAAUUCCAGCUCCAAGAGUGUAUAUUAAAGUUGUUGCGGUUAAAAAGCUCGUAGUUGGACUUUGGACGGCGGCGCGAGGUCCCCGACGGCUCCGUUCGUCGGGAAUCGGGCCCGGCGUUCGCCGUUCCGUUCCCGAAACGCCGGCGACGCGUUCGCGAAAGCGGGCGCGUCCGUUUCGGGGGUUCACCUUGAACAAAUUAGGGUGCUCCAGGCAGACGAAAUCGUCGUGAACAGGUUAGCAUGGGAUGAUGGAAGACGACGCCGAUCCGUCUUUCCGUCGGUUUCUAGGGUCGCGUAAUGAUUGACAGGGGCGGUCGGGGUUGUCCGUAUUCGACGGUCAGAGGUGAAAUUCUAGGACCCGUCGAGGACGAACGAGUGCGAAGGCAUUCAACAAGGACGCUUUCCUUAAUCAAGAACGAAAGUUAUGGGAUCGAAGAUGAUCAGAUACCGUCGUAGUCGUAACCGUAAACCAUGUCGACCCGGGAUCGGAGGCUGUUAAUGGACGACUCUUCCGGCACCGACGUGCGAAAGCGGAGUAUUCGGAUUCCGGGGGGAGUAUGGUCGCAAGGCUGAAACUUAAAGGAAUUGACGGAAGGACACCACCAGGAGUGGAACCUGCGGC
RNAcentral lists this ribosomal RNA (1221 nucleotides) under uncultured soil eukaryote. Its description in RNAcentral is "SSU rRNA". It matches the Rfam family "Eukaryotic small subunit ribosomal RNA", at positions 11 to 1189 of the family's 1831-position model. The record is from RNAcentral.